UCGGGAAUCUUGGGCAAUGGGGGCAACCCUGACCCAGCAACGCCGCGUGAGGGAUGAAGGCCUUCGGGUCGUAAACCUCUGUCGGGAGGGAAGAAAGGUCUCCGUUCGAAUAGGGCGGGGGCUUGACGGUACCUCCAAAGGAAGCGCCGGCUAACUCCGUGCCAGCAGCCGCGGUAAUACGGAGGGCGCGAGCGUUGUUCGGAAUCAUUGGGCGUAAAGCGCGUGUAGGCGGCUUGGCAAGUCGGGUGUGAAAGCCCGGGGCUCAACCCCGGAACUGCACUCGAAACUGCCUCGCUCGAGUCCCGGAGAGGAAGGCAGAAUUCCCGGUGUAGGGGUGAAAUCCGUAGAUAUCGGGAGGAAUACCAGUGGCGAAGGCGGCCUUCUGGACGGUGACUGACGCUGAGACGCGAAAGCGUGGGGAGCAAACAGGAUUAGAUACCCCUGUAGUCC
Molecule: ribosomal RNA, 450 nt
Filed under: uncultured prokaryote
Description: bacterial SSU rRNA
Rfam family: Bacterial small subunit ribosomal RNA
Source: RNAcentral